RNAcentral lists this ribosomal RNA (780 nucleotides) under uncultured Neocallimastigales. Its description in RNAcentral is "partial large subunit ribosomal RNA". It matches the Rfam family "Eukaryotic large subunit ribosomal RNA", at positions 19 to 624 of the family's 3401-position model. Lineage: Eukaryota; Fungi; Neocallimastigomycota; Neocallimastigomycetes; Neocallimastigales. The record is from RNAcentral.
CGAGCACGCGCGUGUGGCAUAUCAAUAAGCGGAGGAAAAGAAACUAACAAGGAUUCCCUUAGUAACGGCGAGUGAAGCGGGAAGAGCUCAAAUUUGAAAUCUUCAAGGUUCUACCUUGACGAAUUGUAGUUUAUAGAAGUGUUUUCUGUUAGUGGAGUGGCAAAAGUUCUUUGGAAUAGGACAUCAUAGAGGGUGAGAAUCCCGUAUUUGGUCAUUCCUCCUAGCGUUGUGAUACACUUUCAACGAGUCGGAUUGUUUGGGAAUGCAGUCCAAAAUGGGUGGUAAAUUUCAUCUAAAGCUAAAUAUUGGCGAGAGACCGAUAGCGAACAAGUACCGUGAGGGAAAGAUGAAAAGAACUUUGAAAAGAGAGUUAAACAGUACGUGAAAUUGUCAAAAGGGAAGCGUUUGACACCAGUGUUGUUUUUCCGAAAAUCAAUUACGAAUGUUUUAUUUUUGAGAGAGUUAUGACUUCAUCGGCUUGCUUCCUUUCCUUACUGGAACUUUCUUAAUGCACUUUUCGGUUAACAAGUCAACAUCAAUUUCUUUUGUUGUAAAAGGGUAUGAGGAAGGUGGCUUUCUUCUCGGAGAAAGUGUUUAUAGCCUUGUGCCUCUGCAAUCGGAGAGAUUGAGGUCUGCAGCGUAGAUCCUUCGGGGUUAGAUACGUUUGUGCUAAGUUAUAGCUUUUCAUAGACAACAUUGUUGACUAUGAUUUAAUCAUUGUAGCUUACUCGCUUAUGCUAUUUUACCUACGCUUAGGAUGUUGAACUCUAUCACACACAG